This 668-nucleotide long non-coding RNA is filed under the name Parus major (Great Tit). RNAcentral's name for it is "lncRNA (ENSPMJG00000018043.1)". The record is from RNAcentral. Lineage: Eukaryota; Metazoa; Chordata; Aves; Passeriformes; Paridae.
AGCUGAGGAGGCAAACUGCUCCAAAAGUAAAUGCCGCCUGGGGACUUGGCUGGGAGUUAGACAGACGUGUUGCAGAGCCAAAGUGUAAAUCUAAAAUUUUGAAAUAAAUUUCAGAAUUUUCCUCAGAAAAGCUUGGCUACCAGGAGGUCUGACUGUAAUGCCAAUGCCAGAAGAGGCAGAAAAAACUGGACUGAACUUCAACAAGAAAGAUGCUCCCUGAUUGCCAAUGAUUGACAAGCCUGGCUUCAGUCCCACACCUUCAACACAACAGAACAGCUAUGAGAAAAAGGCACCUACUACUAAAAAAUACAGAAGUUCAGUGGGUGGAAUAACAACUAUGCCGAAAGCUAGAAUUAUGACUCCUAGGAAGUUUGGAGUACAACUUUGGAGCCUGAUAAGGAGUGAGUGUGGAACAGAGUAGCUGGAACACUUCACAAGGUAACUGGCAUCAUGCUGUGGCAUAGAUGAGGAGGAUGGACAUUAAAUGAAAGCAAUUAAAAAGCAUUGCAUUCAAAUGUGCGACUAUUAUGCCCACACUGCAGGAGACAGCAGGAGGCAGUGAAUCAUCCAACAUUUAAAUCAACACCCCCUUAAAACAAAAUGUAUUCAGCUCAACGUGGGUAUCUCCAACGGGCUCCAAAAGUUCUGACAAUGCGUGACAUGGGUUA